Long non-coding RNA from Lolium rigidum, 1885 nucleotides. RefSeq lists it as uncharacterized. The transcript is spliced from 11 exons. The record is from RefSeq and is a predicted model, not a curated record. Lineage: Eukaryota; Viridiplantae; Streptophyta; Magnoliopsida; Poales; Poaceae.
CUAUUGGAUACAUGGAGAGUGUCAACUAAUACUGUAAUCAAAGAUUUAAACUACAACCAGUUAAACCAGAAGAGAACAGAUAUUUCAAGAGUCAGCUCAGGAAGGCAGACCUUAAGGGUAUAAUAUAGAUGAUGAUUAAUUUGUAUUGGAAGAAUCUGGCAGAAGAAGAGAAGAAUAUGAUAGGACAUGUCUGUUUCUUUGAUCUCAUCAAUACAAUUCUGUUGCUUCAAACAGAAGUGGCUGCGAUUUAUCUCGACUAAUUAUCAUGUUGAGGGGAGCCGGCACAGGGAGCCCUUGGGGUUGCGCAUCCUCCGCCUCCUCGGUACCUGCUCACCCUGGUGAGCAGCGCGAGGAGGGCCGCCCCAGGAACCCCGGAAGGAUGGCCAUGGCGUCUGCUCGAUGGAUGCUAAGGUUUGCCUUUUCUUCUCAGAAGGCGGAUCUGCCCGGCCAUGGACUGGGCUGUUUCGACCUCCUGUUGGGUGAUGCCGCACUCACGCUCGAGAACCUCACGUUCUUUAAUGUUAUGAUUGGCGCGGUUGUCUGGAUUUGGAAGUGGUGAACAAGAGAAAAGUUACUAUCUCACUUGAAGACAAUGGAUUACUGCUGGUGUAUAUAUGUAAAAUUACUUACUGGUGGUCUUACUUUCAGAUCGCAAGUUUGUCCGAAUCAGACUGGAAAAGAAUUGCUUGGACAUUCUUGGGUAUUGUGGUCCUGUGAUUUUUUAAUAUGCUCAGACACUGUGAGUAGCUAAAUGGUUCCUUGCCUUCUGUUAAAAUAGUGUUGUUUCUGUGGAGCAGGUAAAAGAGUCCUAUUUUUGGUUCAGGUUUCUUGCCAAUAAUUAUCCUUUUGGCUGCAUCGUGUUCUUCCGGCAACUAUGUUAAUUGCUCUGAGGUUAAACUCUCAUUAUCUACCACGCCUUUCUAAACAUGUGUUGUUGCUAGCUUCAGGUUAAACUCUCUCAUUAUCUACCACGCCUUUCUAAACAUGUGUUGUUGCUAGCUUCAGAUGGGAUUUCUUCUGUUCUGUAUAUGUACGGAGGCUUCGUAUGUCUUCUUACUUAUAACCCUGAUUGGGAACCCAGGUUACACAUCUGCGGGAGGUAUGGCACAUACCUAUUGAAGUUAAAGACUAAUUCUCAAACAGGUGUGGUUCUGGUCAGGGUCCUGUUAUUGAAGUUAUUGCUAGACGUUAGUCUUCAUAUGGUCUGGAGACCUUUAUAUCAAGAAUUUACCUCAGUUGCCAAUUAGGCUCUUCACUAGGUCAGUCGCAUGGACAUUCUUUUAGCCAUGAAUGAUAAGUACAUACAUUUUUCUUAGCAUGUAUCUGGCAAGCUAUUCUCUGUUAUUUUAGAUUUUUUUUUACUGUAAUGACAUUAUAAAGAUGAUCAAGUUGGGUUUUCGUGAGUAAAAAACUCACGGUCUUGGCUUUUCUAUUAGGUAGAAAAGUAAAUAUGUAGGAGUGUUACUGAGUCAGUAUACAUUGACUCUUAUUGGAGCAGUGUAAGGAUCUGAUGAAAAAUAUUUCUUUUUCCAUCAUUUUCACUGCAUAACAUAUGGUCUUACUCGACCACCCAAAAAUUUAUUUAGAAGAGAAUGAUCAUGCAGGUCUAUGUCGUGUCCUCUUCUUGCCAUUAGGCUCUUAAAUCUUAGAAUGCACCAAUCAUGAGAUAGAGAAGGCAACUAAAAAGAGGAAGAAGCAAUUCCUCUUCUCACUAACACAAGGCUGCUUUACCGCGGGAAGACAGGCUGUGAAAAUGGAAAGAGUUCCUUGACAUAGAAUGGAGCAGCACUCCACACUCGUGCCUAGAAUUACUGAUAUUUGUAUAUAUGUAACUAGGCUGCCAACUUUGAAUUUUAUCCUAUGUUGUAUGACGUAUAUUGCUACC